Molecule: transfer RNA, 74 nt
Filed under: Treponema sp.
Lineage: Bacteria; Pseudomonadati; Spirochaetota; Spirochaetia; Treponematales; Treponemataceae
Description: tRNA-Arg
Rfam family: tRNA
About the family: Transfer RNA (tRNA) molecules are approximately 80 nucleotides in length. Their secondary structure includes four short double-helical elements and three loops (D, anti-codon, and T loops).
Source: RNAcentral
GCGUUCGUAGCUCAGUUGGAUAGAGCGACGGACUUCGAAUCCGUAGGCCGCAGGUUCGAGUCCUGUCGGACGCA